This 487-nucleotide ribosomal RNA is filed under the name uncultured Bacteroidota bacterium. RNAcentral's name for it is "bacterial SSU rRNA". It matches the Rfam family "Bacterial small subunit ribosomal RNA", at positions 28 to 508 of the family's 1533-position model. The record is from RNAcentral. Lineage: Bacteria; Pseudomonadati; Bacteroidota.
GAUGAACGCUAGCGGCAGGCUUAACACAUGCAAGUCGAGGGGCAUCAUUAUCUGCUUGCAGAUAGAUGGCGACCGGCGCACGGGUGCGUAACGCGUAUAGAACCUACCUUAUAUUGGGGGAGUAGCCCAGAGAAAUUUGGAUUAAUACCCCAUGGGAUCAUUAUUUGGCAUCAUUUAGUGAUUAAAGAUUUAUCGAUAUAAGAUGGCUAUGCGUUCUAUUAGCUAGUUGGUUAGGUAACGGCUGACAAAGGCAAACGAUAGAUAGGGGUCCUGAGAGGGAGAUCCCCCACACUGGUACUGAGACACGGACCAGACUCCUACGGGAGGCAGCAGUGAGGAAUAUUGGACAAUGGAGGCAACUCUGAUCCAGCCAUGCCGCGUGCAGGAGACUGCCCUAUGGGUUGUAAACUGCUUUUAUAGAGGAAGACCCCCGUUAUGUAUAGCGGUCUGACGGUACUCUACGAAUAAGGAUCGGCUAACUCCGUCG